GGGGGCUAGCUCAGCGGUAGAGCAGCUGACUCCAGAUCAGCCGGUCAGUGGUUCAAUCCCUCUAGCCCUCAC
RNAcentral lists this transfer RNA (72 nucleotides) under Entamoeba terrapinae. RNAcentral describes it as "tRNA-Trp". It matches the Rfam family "tRNA". From Rfam's summary of the family: Transfer RNA (tRNA) molecules are approximately 80 nucleotides in length. Their secondary structure includes four short double-helical elements and three loops (D, anti-codon, and T loops). Lineage: Eukaryota; Evosea; Mastigamoebida; Endamoebidae. The record is from RNAcentral.